Molecule: ribosomal RNA, 253 nt
Filed under: uncultured bacterium
Lineage: Bacteria
Description: partial 16S ribosomal RNA
Rfam family: Bacterial small subunit ribosomal RNA
Source: RNAcentral
UACGGGGGGUGCAAGCGUUGUCCGGAAUCAUUGGGCGUAAAGAGUUCGUAGGCGGCACGUAAAGUCUGGUGUUAAAGGCAGAGGCUCAACUUCUGUACGGCACUGGAUACUUGCGAGCUAGAAUGCGGUAGAGGUAAAGGGAAUUCCUGGUGUAGCGGUGAAAUGCUUAGAGAUCAUACAGAACACCGAUUGCGAAGGCAGCUUACCAAGCUACUUCUGACGUUGAGGCACGAAAGCGUGGGGAGCAAACAGG